ACUAAGAGCGAAUGGUGGAUGCCUUGACUGGUAAAGGCGAUGAAGGACGUACUAGACUGCGAUAAGCUACGGGGAGCUGUCAAGAAGCUUUGAUCCGUAGAUUUCCGAAUGGGGCAACCCAAUGUAUAGAGAUAUACAUUACCUAUAUAGGAGCGAACGAGGGGAAUUGAAACAUCUUAGUACCCUCAGGAAAAGAAAUCAAUAGAGAUUGCGUCAGUAGCGGCGAGCGAAAGCGCAAGAGGGCAAACCCAGUGCUUGCACUGGGGGUUGUAGGACUGCAAUGUGCAAGAGCUGAGUUUAGCAGAACAUUCUGGAAAGUAUAGCCAUAGAGGGUGAUAGUCCCGUAUGCGAAAAACAAAGCUUAGCUAGCAGUAUCCUGAGUAGGGCGGGACACGAGGAAUCCUGUCUGAAUCCGGGUCGACCACGAUCCAACCCUAAAUACUAAUACCAGAUCGAUAGUGCACAAGUACCGUGAGGGAAAGGUGAAAAGAACUGAGGUGAUCAGAGUGAAAUAGAACCUGAAACCAUUUGCUUACAAUCAUUCAGAGCCCUAUGUAGCAAUACAGGGUGAUGGACUGCCUUUUGCAUAAUGAGCCUGCGAGUUGUGGUGUCUGGCAAGGUUAAGCAAACGCGAAGCCGUAGCGAAAGCGAGUCUGAAUAGGGCGCUUAGUCAGAUGCUGCAGACCCGAAACGAAGUGAUCUAUCCAUGAGCAAGUUGAAGCUAGUGUAAGAACUAGUGGAGGACUGAACCCAUAGGCGUUGAAAAGCCCCGGGAUGACUUGUGGAUAGGGGUGAAAGGCCAAUCAAACUUCGUGAUAGCUGGUUCUCUCCGAAAUAUAUUUAGGUAUAGCGUUGUGUCGUAAUAUAAGGGGGUAGAGCACUGAAUGGGCUAGGGCAUACACCAAUGUACCAAACCCUAUCAAACUCCGAAUACCUUAUAUGUAAUCACAGCAGUCAGGCGGCGAGUGAUAAAAUCCGUCGUCAAGAGGGAAACAACCCAGACUACCAGCUAAGGUCCCUAAAUCUUACUUAAGUGGAAAACGAUGUGAAGUUACUUAAACAACCAGGAGGUUGGCUUAGAAGCAGCCAUCCUUUAAAGAAAGCGUAAUAGCUCACUGGUCUAGUGAUUUUGCGCGGAAAAUAUAACGGGGCUAAAGUAAGUACCGAAGCUGUAGACUUAGUUUACUAAGUGGUAGGAGAGCGUUCUAUUUGCGUCGAAGGUAUACCGGUAAGGAGUGCUGGAGCGAAUAGAAGUGAGCAUGCAGGCAUGAGUAGCGAUAAUUAAUGUGAGAAUCAUUAACGCCGUAAACCCAAGGUUUCCUACGCGAUGCUCGUCAUCGUAGGGUUAGUCGGGUCCUAAGUCGAGUCCGAAAGGGGUAGACGAUGGCAAAUUGGUUAAUAUUCCAAUACCAACAUUAGUGUGCGAUGGAAGGACGCUUAGGGCUAAGGGGGCUAGCGGAUGGAAGUGCUAGUCUAAGGUCGUAGGAGGUUAUACAGGCAAAUCCGUAUAACAAUACUCCGAGAACUGAAAGGCUUUUUGAAGUCUUCGGAUGGAUAGAAGAACCCCUGAUGCCGUCGAGCCAAGAAAAGUUUCUAAGUUUAGCUAAUGUUGCCCGUACCGUAAACCGACACAGGUGGGUGGGAUGAGUAUUCUAAGGCGCGUGGAAGAACUCUCUUUAAGGAACUCUGCAAAAUAGCACCGUAUCUUC
RNAcentral lists this ribosomal RNA (1709 nucleotides) under Campylobacter jejuni. RNAcentral describes it as "partial 23S ribosomal RNA". It matches the Rfam family "Bacterial large subunit ribosomal RNA", at positions 10 to 1737 of the family's 2925-position model. The record is from RNAcentral. Lineage: Bacteria; Pseudomonadati; Campylobacterota; Epsilonproteobacteria; Campylobacterales; Campylobacteraceae.